Long non-coding RNA from Helicoverpa armigera (cotton bollworm), 908 nucleotides. RefSeq lists it as uncharacterized. The transcript is spliced from 3 exons. The record is from RefSeq and is a predicted model, not a curated record. Lineage: Eukaryota; Metazoa; Arthropoda; Insecta; Lepidoptera; Noctuidae.
AAAGGAAAUAGCCAGAACCCUCAAGCAAACCUUCGACAACUCUCAAUAAAUAUACCAAAGAUUAACCGACAAGAAAAACAAAUGAUGUAUGCUAAAUGGGCCCAAAGAAAAUAAAUAAACAUAAGUUCCAUACUCUUACAUCAUCAUCUGCCUAGCCUUUUCCCAACUAUGUUGGGGUCGGCUUCCAGUCUAACCAGAUGCAGCUGAGUACCAGUGUUUUACUCACUCUCACUUUGGUAAAAGGGAGAAAGAAAUGAGAAUGGGAGUUGAAUUGAUGGUUCAAAAUGUUUUGUCAUGUUGGCUAUUUCUAUCAUUAAACUGCUUGAAAUUCACCAAAUUAUCACCAUGAAAAACCUAAAGAUACAAGUUCCAGACCAGUCCAGAUCAGAGAGAGAUGUGAGAUGAAACCAGUUGGAAAAAGCAAAAGGAAGGAUUACACACGAUAAUGUCAGUAUCAUUUCAUAGACGCCGCUCGCUGCUGAAUUCCGGGCUGCUUUGUAAAAGCUUCUAAAACUCACAAAGCCAUUUAGACCCGACCCGGGUAUCGAAACCAAGAAGAACGAAGAAUUUAAAAUUUCUACUGAAGAGCUAUGUCAAUCUAAUCAAGUAAGUACCAAUUUUUUAUAUAUUUUUAAGUCAUCAUAUUACUGUGCUUUUCCCCAGGGUAUGUUAGGAUGGGCAAUCAUAUAAAUAUCUAUUAACUAAAGAUUCUUGUUCCCACGGAUUUGUAUAUAGUUUUUAAUUUUUAGUUUGAGACUCAAACACUUAGGUAGGGAUAAUUUAUAACCUAGCCCAUUUAUAAUAUGCCUAAAUUUCUUGCCAGUACGUUUUUUUAUUGAGUAAAUAGCUAGAAACAGGCAUAAAAAUAGGCUAGGUUAGGCUAGGUUGAUAGGUAGGACAUAAAAAAA